RNAcentral lists this ribosomal RNA (258 nucleotides) under uncultured bacterium. RNAcentral describes it as "partial 16S ribosomal RNA". It matches the Rfam family "Bacterial small subunit ribosomal RNA", at positions 793 to 1055 of the family's 1533-position model. The record is from RNAcentral.
GUCCACGCCCUAAACGAUGAUUACUGGACAUUUGCGAUAUACAGUGAGUGUCUGAGCGAAAGCAUUAAGUAAUCCACCUGGGAAGUACGUCCGCAAGGAUGAAACUCAAAGGAAUUGACGGGGUCGCACAAGCGGUGGAGUAUGUGGUUUAAUUCGAUGAUACGCGAGGAACCUUACCUGGGCUAGAAUGCGCGUGACCGGUUCUGAAAGGAACUUUUCUAGCAAUAGACACAAAGCAAGGUGCUGCAUGGCUGUCGU